RNAcentral lists this ribosomal RNA (397 nucleotides) under uncultured bacterium. RNAcentral describes it as "partial 16S ribosomal RNA". It matches the Rfam family "Bacterial small subunit ribosomal RNA", at positions 523 to 918 of the family's 1533-position model. The record is from RNAcentral.
AUACGUAGGGGGCGAGCGUUGUCCGGAAUGAUUGGGCGUAAAGGGCGCGUAGGCGGCCCGGUAAGUCUGGAGUGAAAGUCCUGUUUUUAAGAUGGGAAUUGCUUUGGAUACUGUCGGGCUUGAGUGCAGGAGAGGUAAGUGGAAUUCCCAGUGUAGCGGUGAAAUGCGUAGAGAUUGGGAGGAACACCAGUGGCGUAGGCGACUUACUGGACUGUAACUGACGCUGAGGCGCGAAAGUGUGGGGAGCAAACAGGAUUAGAUACCCUGGUAGUCCACACUGUAAACGAUGAAUGCUAGGUGUAAGAGGUAUCGACCCCUUUUGUGCCGGAGUCAACACAAUAAGCAUUCCGCCUGGGGAGUACGGCCGCAAGGUUGAAACUCAAAUGAAUUGACGGGG